AGAGAGAGAGAGAGAGAGAGAGAGAGAGAGAGAGAGACCAAGAAACAAAACAAACAAAAUAAAAAAAAGAAACUAAUCCUUUUUAGCAUUUACAUAAAAAAAGCAAGAAAAAGAAAAAAAAAUGUACAGUUAUAUUUCUUGAGUGUUCAAUUAAUCACUUCAUGUCUGUCUGAGAGAGAGAGAGAGAGAGAGAGAGAGAGAGAGAGAGAGAGAGAGAGAGAGAGAGAGAGAGAGAGAGACUUGCCUAAUUAAUUUAUAAAGGAAUUAAAUUAGAGAGGAUUAGUUAAUGUGUUUAUGUAAUUAUGUACUGUAAGAGAGAGAGAGAGAGAGAGAGAGAGAGAGAGAGAGAGAGAGAGAGAGAGAGAAAAAUAAAAAUAUAAACAAAAUUCGAGAUAAAAUGAUGUAAUUGCAGUGGUGUGUGUGUGUGUGUGUGUGUGUGUGUGUGUGUGUGUGUGUGUGUGUGUGUGUGUGUGUUCGCUCCCCAUGCUACCGUAUAUUUCACUACAAACUAGUUAAAACCACAAUUAAACCAUGUAAUUACAAACUUUAGCUUCAUUUAUGUCAGUAGUACUUGCUGUAAGAAUCUGGGGAAAUUUUCUUCAAUGCUGAGGAAAAAUGUUAAAAGUUUCCCUAGAUUCUCAAUAGGAUAGUUGAAGUUUCCCUAAAUUCUCGUCCCCUUGUGGAAAUUUGCCCCUAGAUCGUUAUUUUUUUACUGUGAUUGAAUAAAAGGCAGUGAUUGAUAGUAAAGAGCAGUAGUAGAAGUGGCAGAUUUCCAUAAUGGUUAACUAUUUAUAUAUAGUUCGCCCUAUUCUAUCCUCUUCACCUCCUCCUCCUCCUCCCUCUCCCUCCUUUUCUCGUGUUUAUGUAUCAGCAAUGGGUAAAUUUUAUAAAGCACUUGGAAUUUUUAUAUAUAUUUUUUAUGUGUUAGCUUCAUUUCAUAGUUUGCUUUAUUAACCUGUGGGGAAAAAAAAACAUAGCCUUUCAUGAAUUUGUUAAUUGUGAUCCCGUUAAAAAGGUAUGAAUUAUGCAGCCUUCAGGAGUUUGUGGUAUUGUGAACCCGUUAAAAGUAUGAAUUAUGCAGCCUUCAGGAGUUUGUGGUAUUGUGAUCAUGUUUAAAAGUAUGAAUUAUGCAGCCUUCAGAAGUUUGUGUUAUUGUGAACCCGUUAAAAGGUAUGAAUUAUGCAGCCUUCAGAAGUUUGUUUAUGUUGCGAUCCUGUUAAAAAAAAGUAGAAAUGUCUGGCCUUUAGGAGUGUAUUUAUAUUGUGAACCCGUUAAAAAGUGGAAACGUUUUGCCUUUAAGAAUUUGUGGUAUUAGGAACUCAUUGAAAAGUACGAAAUAAUUGGUUUAAAAAAAUUGUGGUAUUGUGAAUUCGUUAAAAAAUAUGAAACAAGCAGCCUUUAAAAAUUUGUGGUAUUGUAAGCCCGUUAAAGAGUGAAAUAAGCAGCCUGCAGGAGUUUGUGGUAUUGUGAACCCGUUGAAAUAUGUAAUAAAUAUGUGCUGUGGUAAUGUGAACCUGUUGUAAGUGUGAAAGAGAAGGCUACGAGAGUUUCCUUCCAAGCAGCAGCAGUGAGACCAUUGAAGAGUGCGAGGAAAAGCCAGCCAGAGGGAAACUAAGUCUAAAAAGGAAAGAUCUAUAAAAAAAAUUCUAAAGUAAUGUGGGAAAAUUGUAAGAGGAAAAAAAAGUUAAAAGAAAUAAAAAAAAAAGUAGAUUGAAGGGUUUUGAUUAAUGAAAUGAAAUUGUUAAAAGUGAGAAAAAUGAUAAAGUAAAAUGUGUAGAAAAAAAAAACUUACAAGAAAUAAAAAAUAAAGUUUCAAAGAUUUUAAUUAAUGAUGUGAAAUUGUUAAAAGUUAAUAAAAUGAUUAAAAGGUAAAAUAUGUAGAAAAAAAAGCUACGAGUUUAAAAAAAAAAAAAUUGAGUUGGAGAAUUUAAAAGUGCUGAAAAAAAGUCUGCAGUUAGAAAAAAUAAAGCACGUAAGAGUAAGAAUAAAAAAAACAGUGAAAAUAAAAAUAAAUGAAACAGUUUAAGAAAAUAUGAAUGUGACACCGUUAAAAUUGCUGAAAAAUUGAGCUUGUGUAAGCCUGUGACGUCAUCAACAGCAGCAACAUUCAAACAUUCACAUACCAAAAUAGGAGAGAGAAUUACGAUGGACAUACUAAACAAUGGUAAAAAGACAUUAUCAUUAUUAUUAUUAUUAUUAUUAUUAUUAUUAUUAUUAUUAUAACAUUUAAUAUAUUUUGUCUGUUUCUUGGGAAUUGGCAAAGAGAGAAAAUUAGAUGCACUAACGAGACUAUUUGCACCACCACCACCACCACCACCACCACCACCACCACCAAUUAAAUAUAUAUAAAACACUGUAUGUAAUGUAUGUAUGUAUGUAUUUUUCCACGUAUAAUUAUUUUUUUUCCAGGCUCUUAGGUGUACAAGCAUUUACCUUAACUUGUACCUUAAUUAAUGGCAGGUGAGGAGGAGGAGGAGGAGGAGGAGGAGUGAAGGGGAAAUAAGACUAAAAUAUAUUGUAAUGACUUCUUCAACUCAUUAAUGUUUUGGUUUUGUUAUUGUACUUUUUAAUAUAAGGCUGUCCAUUAUUAUUAUUUUUAUUAUUAUUAUUAUUAUUAUUAUUAUUAUUAUUAUUAUUGAUGUAGUGUGUGUUUGUAUAUACUUAGGUAUGUGACGGUAGUGUUUGUAUAUUAUCAUUAUUAUCAUGACUUGUAUAGAGAGAGAAUCAUGUGUUAUUCUGCCAUACUUAUUGUUUUAUUCUUAUUUUUCUUCUUAUUUCGUGUUAGUUAGUUUUUUUUUUUUCUUCGUUUUUCAGGGUUUUCUAUAUUAAUUUUUCUUGUUUCUUUGAUUUUCGCUUUUUUUGAGUGAGGUUCAUUUUGUCCUGUUCAUUUUUUUCUUCUUUUCCUAUUUUUUUUCUCUCUUCUUGUUUUCUCUGUGGUCAUUUUCUUUCAGUCUUCAAUGAUUACUAAUUAUUUUUCCCUUGUCAAAUGUUACUGUUUAUUUCUUUUUCGUUUGUCUUUCUUUUUCUUUCUCUUUUUUUUUUUAUUAGAGUUCAUUAUAUACACAUCCUUUCCUUCAUUCAUUACAUCAUUUCCCGUAGGCUUGUUUCUCCUUUUUCUAGUUUAUUGCUUUAAUUUUCUUUCUUCAUAUUGUUUUUUCCUUUUCUUUCAUUCCUUUUUCUUUCUUUUUUUUCAUGUAUCAGUCUUCAUUACACUUUUUACUUAAUCCACUACAUAAAAUUUCGAUAUAUUUAAUGUUAGGCUCGUGUCCCCUUCCUUCCCUCUAUAGUUCAUUGUUUUCCCGCUCUAUCGUCUUUAUUCAUCUUUUCUCUAUCUUUUCUUUAUACAGAUUCUCCUUAUAUACACUUCUUUUCCAUAAAUCAUCACAUAAUUUUCCAUACAUUUCAUUUAAGCUCGUAUCUCCUUCCCUUCCUAGUUAAUUGUUUUCUCUUAUCUAUUUUCUUUUACUUUCUUUCUUUCCGUUUUAUGCAAAUUUUCCUUAUAAACACUUUUCGUAUUUCAUCACUCAAUUUUCCAUACAUUUCAUUUAGGCUCGUAUCCCCUUCCCUUUCCCGCCAACACCACCACCACCACCACCACCUCCCUCACCCCGGACAGGCAGCCAUUAGCCAUAUCACUCAUUCGUGUUCGUGUUCCGUGAGUCACCGGUGUGGUUAUGCUUGGCUUUCUCGCACCCCACCACACACCCACGCCCGCCCACACACCUGGCACGGGCGGCGGUGGGCGUGGCUUUUCCUCCCACCCCACCAUUAGCGCUUAAGUAGAUGAGAUUUGUGAUACUUGCAUUCAUAUUUGGAGGAAGAGAGAAAGGAAGGAAGGAAGGAGGGUGAAGAUGAAAGAAAACGUGAAAAGAUUGUUGUAUUAAAUGAAA
Molecule: long non-coding RNA, 3890 nt
Organism: Portunus trituberculatus (swimming crab)
Lineage: Eukaryota; Metazoa; Arthropoda; Malacostraca; Decapoda; Portunidae
Exons: 2
Source: RefSeq, a predicted model, not a curated record